This 68-nucleotide long non-coding RNA is filed under the name Callithrix jacchus (white-tufted-ear marmoset). Its description in RNAcentral is "lncRNA (ENSCJAG00000078806.1)". Lineage: Eukaryota; Metazoa; Chordata; Mammalia; Primates; Cebidae. The record is from RNAcentral.
UAUUAACAUGUUUCAAAGAGUUGAAUUAACAGGUUGGCACUUACGAUUGUGGAUUUAUAACACAGGAU